GUUUCAUUUUAUGGAGACAAAAAAAUGGUCGCUUAAAAAGACACUAAAUUUGGUGAAGAUAGUCUAACUGAGGGGAGCAUUCUUCUUUUCUGUUUUGCUGUUUAGGCUUCUAAAGCAGCUAUUACAUGUAGAACAGUGGUUGCCAAUUAGAGAUUUUUAUCAUGUUAAGAUUUGAAAUAUUAUGUACCAUUCCUUAUAUGUUUUUACAUAAUAUAAACUUAUUAUUACUCUUGCAUAUUUGAAGAACACGUCACAAGAGGGUUUCAUAAGAAAUAAAAAUUAAAAAAUAAAAUCCUCCCACCUGCCCC
This 308-nucleotide long non-coding RNA is filed under the name Mytilus galloprovincialis (Mediterranean mussel). Lineage: Eukaryota; Metazoa; Mollusca; Bivalvia; Mytilida; Mytilidae. The record is from RNAcentral.